Molecule: long non-coding RNA, 782 nt
Organism: Stegostoma tigrinum
Lineage: Eukaryota; Metazoa; Chordata; Chondrichthyes; Orectolobiformes; Stegostomatidae
Exons: 3
Source: RefSeq, a predicted model, not a curated record
ACAUCCAAAAGCACUCACAAUAAAUAACAUUUUAUAUUUAAUGCUGUUUUGCUGAUAAAUGCAUUUGCCACAGCACAGCAAGAUCCUGCAAAGAGCUCCAAGGUACUUGACUGGUUAAUCUGUGUCUGCUGGUGUUUGUUGAAGGAGGAAAGCUGGUCGGGAUGUGGAGAAUCUCCCUCCUUCUACUUUGAACGGUGUGACGGGAUCUCUAGCAAGCAGUUGAGCAGAUUAUCGAUAUGCCUUAAAGUACUGAGUGAAGGAACUUCUGGGAAUAUUGUGGCCUGUAUUUUGGAGUCACAUUAAGUAGUCUUACGCUGACUGCUGACCUUGAACGACGUGGCCAAUAAGGAUUUUGGACUGUAUCUGCUCUGCCCAGGACUGUAAGAAACUACAGAAGGUGGUGUGUACAGCCCAGACCAUCCUGGAAGCCAACCUUCCAUCCAUGGACACCAUUAACACAGCUCAGUGCCACAGAAAGGCCACUAACAUCGUCAAAGUCCUAUUGCACCCUGGUAAUGAUCUCCUACAAUCUCUUCAGCCAGACAGAAGAUACAGGUGCUUGAACACAUGCACCAGCAGGUUCAUGAACAGCUUCUUCCUGGCCUUUAUUAGAAUGAUGAAUGGACUGUCUAACUUCAAAUAAUGCUGACCUUGCUAAAGUUGAUCUUACCUAGCGCAUGCCCUGUACAAUGUAACCUGUAUGUCUCUAAGAUUUUUUUUCACACUAUGAUCUGUCUGUCCUUGCUUACAAUGAUCUGCCUGUACUGAUCAUAAGCAAAGCU